Molecule: RNA transcript, 2861 nt
Organism: Oncorhynchus tshawytscha (Chinook salmon)
Lineage: Eukaryota; Metazoa; Chordata; Actinopteri; Salmoniformes; Salmonidae
Gene name: 5'-AMP-activated protein kinase subunit gamma-1
Exons: 16
Source: RefSeq, a predicted model, not a curated record
ACAGCACGCUCAGUCUCGGUGAUGUCAAUACAGCGGUAGGUAGGCCUAAUGCGUUGGUAGUGCAGUAUACUUCCUGGUAAAUUAACUGGUAAAUUGAAACUUAUUUUUACACAUAAAUACGUAUGGCAUAUGCCACGCAAUUUACCCAAACUUGAUCUUGCUCGUUAAAAAUAAAGAAAAUAGCAUCGUUAGUCUGAAAAUGGGGAGCACGGUGAUGGAGUCUAACAAGAAGGAUAACUCGAAGAAAAAGGGAAUCCUACGCAUAAAUAUGCCAGACCUUAGGGCUUUUACCUCCCCCAUACUGGAUGCAGAGUCUGGUGGCUCGGAAAAGGAUGGCUCUCCUAAGGGAGAGGUCUGCUUUCACUCUGCCAGCCUAACUAAAGGACUCUUUGUGAGGGGUUGUGCUGCUGGUGUCAGCCAACCAUCUAGUCCCAUGUUUGCCCCUGCCCACUCCCAGUCUCAGACCAGUCCGGGCUCUUCUAGAACCAUCUUCCCCUACCCCUCCACCCACCAGGACCGCUCACCACCCAAGUCGCCCUGCCGCCUCAACUUCAGCGGUAUCUUCCGCUCUUCAUCCAACUCAUCGUCCAACUCUAGCAUCAAGCUCUUCUCUAGGACCAGGAAAGUCUCCGGCCUCUCGUCUUCCCCCACCCCACCCAGCACCCCCACCCAGGCCCCUAGCCAGUCCAUGCUGUUCCCCCAGGAGGUCCACCAGAGUGUCCCUGAACGUCUGGGCCGCUCCCUCUCAUCACCCCCACCAGACACCGGACAGCGCCUCAGCCUGCCCACCUCUGCCAAGCCCUCCUCCUCUCCGAUACCCUACACCUUCCCACUGCCCCAAGCUACCUCACAGCCAAAUUUCUACGGUUUAUUCGAAGGCAUGUUGGAGAAACUUGAACUAGACGAUGAUGGUGUUGCUGCUGAACCAGACAGUGACAUUUACAUGCGCUUUAUGAAGUCCCAUAGCUGCUAUGACAUCGUCCCCACCAGCUCCAAGCUGGUUGUGUUUGACACUGGACUGCAAGUGAAGAAGGCUUUCUUUGCCUUAGUGGCCAAUGGGGUGCGAGCUGCUCCACUGUGGGACUCGGAGAGGCAGUGUUUUGUGGGAAUGUUGACAAUCACCGACUUCAUCAUCAUACUACACAGAUACUACAAGUCACCGCUGGUGCAAAUAUAUGAGUUGGAAGAUCAUAAGCUUGAGACAUGGAGAGAAGUAUAUUUGCAAGAGACAUUCAAACCUUUAGUGAACAUAUCACCCGAAUCAAGCAUAUUUGAUGCAGUGUAUUCCCUCAUCAAAAACAAGAUCCACCGUCUGCCUGUCAUCGACCCUGUUACGGGAAACCCACUUUACAUCCUCACACACAAGAGGAUCCUCAAGUUCCUACAGCUCUUUGUGCGCGAGAUGCCCAAGCCAGCCUUUAUGAAGCAGACCCUGGGGGAGCUGGGCAUCGGUACCUACAAGAACAUAGCUUUCAUCCACCCUGACACACCCAUCAUCAAGGCCCUGCAGAUCUUCGUAGAGAGGAGGGUGUCUGCCCUGCCUGUGGUGGACGUCUCUGGAAAAGUGGUGGAUAUUUACUCCAAAUUUGAUGUCAUAAACCUGGCAGCAGAGAAGACUUAUAAUAACCUGGACAUCACCGUGACCCAGGCUCUGAGGCAUCGCUGGCAGUACUUUGAGGGGGUCAUGCAGUGCCACAAGCUGGACACACUGGAGACCAUCGUGGACAGGAUUGUCAAAGCAGAGGUCCAUCGGUUGGUGGUGGUGGAUGAUCGCUCGGCCAUCGAGGGCAUCGUCUCCCUGUCUGACAUUCUGCAGGCCCUGGUGCUCAGCCCAGCAGGUAUAGACGCUCAGCAUUCCUAACCCCCCUCAUCCUACACCUGGACCCUGAGCUCCCUCCCUCCCCACCCACCCUGUCGUGCCCCUCCCUGUACCUCUCACACAGAUUCCUGCCGAGAGGAGGGCCUGCUGGAGUGAAAGGGGAAAAGCUGUGGGGACCACUGAGGUUGAAGGCUGUUAUAAAACUUAGUAUUCUACUUCUAUAGCUUCAGACAUGGGGCCCGGAGCCCUUGGUAUUGAUGCUCUAGACUUUGAAACCAAAAGGAUGGGCUGGACUUCACUAGACUGGAUUGGACUGAUACGGGGAUGUAAAGGGCUCUAAUUCCCGAGGACCAGCAUCUCUCUGUCUAAAUGGAACUGUGCUUCAUUCACUGUGGGAUGGUUAUAGUAGGGUGGAAUGAUGACGCAGGUUGAGCCAGUCUGGAGACUUUGGCUAUGUAUAUGAGAGCUACAUAUAUUUAGGUUGUUCUCUCUAUCAUGCUGCUCUGUCGUUGUUCCCAGCAACAGUGCCUAGUCACUCCCAGUAAGUUUUAAACCUUCAAGGAUCAAGAAGAUUGACCGAUAUGGUCACAGCAUCUUAGAAUUGAUGAUACACACUUUUAGGAGAAAUGGCAGGUUUUCAUGCUUUACCUUGUAAUGGUGGGAGGGGCUGUAUUUUUAUAUGAGUAAUAUGCUGUGAAGAGAGACAGAACAUAAAAAAGGCCUUAUUUUAAGACAUGUUUUGCCUGCUUUAUGUACUUUAUGUACUUUAUGUACUCUGACAAAACUCAUCUGUGUUCUAUUACUGUAAACAACAACGUUUAUAAGAAAAGUGCCAGAGAAAAGCUUUUUUUUAUUUAAGUUUAAACAAAUUAUGUUAAACUGACUACAGUUUAAUAUUCUCUAUUUGUAAAUAUGUGGCAGUAAAAUGUUGUAUUCAGAGCAAGAUGGACUACAAGUGCAAGCGAUAAAUGACACUAUAACAGUUGUAAAUGUUCUUUACUUUUCUAAAAGCAGCUAAAUAAAUAUAAAUAUUUUUAUGGUA